RNAcentral lists this ribosomal RNA (429 nucleotides) under uncultured bacterium. Its description in RNAcentral is "bacterial SSU rRNA". It matches the Rfam family "Bacterial small subunit ribosomal RNA", at positions 355 to 775 of the family's 1533-position model. The record is from RNAcentral.
UGGGGAAUUGUUCGCAAUGGGCGCAAGCCUGACGACGCAACGCCGCGUGGAGGACGAAGAUCUUCGGGUCGUAAACUCCUGUCGAGCGGGAAGAACACCCACCCGGUGAACAACCGGGAGGGCUGACGGUACCGCUAAAGGAAGCCCCGGCUAACUCCGUGCCAGCAGCCGCGGUAAUACGGGGGGGGCAAGCGUUGUUCGGAAUUACUGGGCGUAAAGGGCUCGUAGGCGGCCAACUAAGUCGGACGUGAAAUCCCCAGGCUCAACCUGGGAACUGCGUCCGAUACUGGAUGGCUUGAAUCCGGGAGAGGGAUGCAGAAUUCCAGGUGUAGCGGUGAAAUGCGUAGAUAUCUGGAGGAAUACCGGUGGCGAAGGCGGCAUCCUGGACCGGCAUUGACGCUGAUGAGCGAAAGCCAGGGGAGCAAACGG